This is a long non-coding RNA of Sphaeramia orbicularis (orbiculate cardinalfish), 188 nucleotides long. RefSeq lists it as uncharacterized. Lineage: Eukaryota; Metazoa; Chordata; Actinopteri; Kurtiformes; Apogonidae. The transcript has 2 exons. The record is from RefSeq and is a predicted model, not a curated record.
CCCUAAUGCUGACUCAAUUAUUUAUCAUUUAAGACAAAAUACUGUACUACUACAAUCAGUUACACAAUUCUGUCCAAGAACCUGGUGAUGCUGCUACCAUAGACCUUCAGACACAAACAUAGUCAAAUAUUUUGUCAUUUUAUUCACAUGUAACAAUGUGUAAAUGGCAUGGAUGUAUUUCAUAAUAA